UACGAAGGGGGCUAGCGUUGUUCGGAAUUACUGGGCGUAAAGCGCGCGCAGGCGGCUAUCCAAGUCAGUGGUGAAAGCCCGGAGCUCAACUCCGGAACUGCCAUUGAAACUGUUUAGCUUGAGGACGAGAGAGGUGAGUGGAAUUCCCAGUGUAGAGGUGAAAUUCGUAGAUAUUGGGAAGAACACCGGUGGCGAAGGCGGCUCACUGGCUCGGUACUGACGCUCAGGCGCGAAAGCGUGGGGAGCAAACAGG
RNAcentral lists this ribosomal RNA (253 nucleotides) under uncultured bacterium. Its description in RNAcentral is "partial 16S ribosomal RNA". It matches the Rfam family "Bacterial small subunit ribosomal RNA", at positions 524 to 776 of the family's 1533-position model. The record is from RNAcentral.